Molecule: ribosomal RNA, 244 nt
Filed under: uncultured bacterium
Lineage: Bacteria
Description: partial 16S ribosomal RNA
Rfam family: Bacterial small subunit ribosomal RNA
Source: RNAcentral
UGUGAAUGUGAGCGAAUCCCAAAAAUAAACGUCUCAGUUCGGAUUGUAGUCUGCAACUCGACUACAUGAAGCUGGAAUCGCUAGUAAUCGCGAAUCAGAAUGUCGCGGUGAAUACGUUCCCGGGUCUUGUACACACCGCCCGUCACACCAUGAGAGUUGGGAAUACCCGAAGCCUGUGAGCUAACGUAAGAGGCAGCAGUCGAAGGUAGAAUCAAUGAUUGGGGUGAAGUCGUAACAAGGUACC